Molecule: long non-coding RNA, 588 nt
Filed under: Triticum aestivum (bread wheat)
Lineage: Eukaryota; Viridiplantae; Streptophyta; Magnoliopsida; Poales; Poaceae
Description: long non-coding RNA (TAES_LNC011988)
Source: RNAcentral
UCGGAUCGGUUCUUGCCUAAAAUGCAUUGAAAAAUCAAAAUAAUUGACUUCGUUCAGGCUUGAGAAGCAUCUAUCUCUAGGAUAUGUGGCUGGCGUUUAAUUGGUGGCUGUAUGGUACCUACACCGGUAUUUUCCAUCAAGACCUCCAGAAAGUGAUAUCAUCUCUAGGUGAAAAUACGAAAUCCAUUUACUGCUCUCUUUCUUGUCUCACUCAUUCAUAUUAUUAUAUGUACACAAAUUCAUGUCAUUCUGAACUUGUUACACCGGUGCAGAAGCAAAAAAUAGAUGCACAAGUUCAUCUUUUGUGACACAUUCAAUACGAAUUCUGAUGUUCCUUUGCUAGGUGAUGAUUUCACCGAGUUGGGGAUUCGGUGAUGCUGCUUGGUGCACGAAAGAACCAAAAUAUUUUGCAUUCAGCCGCUAGUGGAGUUGGUCUUGUGGACCACAAAAUUAGCUUAAUCUGAAGCUAGCUAGCUUGAUGUGAAGCUCCCCCUGGGUUCAGUUAGCUGGAUGGUGCAGUCAACUACUAGUUUUGGUGUACAAACAAGACAGGGGAUCAAUUAAAUUGUAGUUGUGCAUUGUUUGUUU